Molecule: ribosomal RNA, 466 nt
Filed under: uncultured bacterium
Lineage: Bacteria
Description: bacterial SSU rRNA
Rfam family: Bacterial small subunit ribosomal RNA
Source: RNAcentral
UAGGGAAUAUUGGACAAUGGGUGAGAGCCUGAUCCAGCCAUGCCGCGUGCAGGAAGAAGGCGUUAUGCGUUGUAAACUGCUUUUUGCCAGGGGAUAAAAGACCGUGCGCGGUUAAUUGAAGGUACCUGGUGAAUAAGCCACGGCUAACUACGUGCCAGCAGCCGCGGUAAUACGUAGGUGGCAAGCGUUGUCCGGAUUUAUUGGGUUUAAAGGGUGCGUAGGUGGCCCUGUAAGUCAGUGGUGAAAUAUCUCAGCUUAACUGAGAGGGUGCCAUUGAUACUGCAGGGCUUGAGUACAGAUGAGGUAGGCGGAAUUGACGGUGUAGCGGUGAAAUGCAUAGAUAUCGUCAAGAACACCGAUAGCGAAGGCAGCUUACCAAGCUGUAACUGACACUGAGGCACGAAAGUGUGGGGAUCAAACAGGAUUAGAUACCCCCGUAGUCCCUGAGCGGGCUGGCAAGGCGCAU